GCAGGGCCUUCUGGACAAGCAUGGGAAA
Molecule: non-coding RNA, 28 nt
Filed under: Cricetulus griseus (Chinese hamster)
Lineage: Eukaryota; Metazoa; Chordata; Mammalia; Rodentia; Cricetidae
Source: RNAcentral